GCCAGACGGGCGCUGCUCCCUGGGUUGUUGCCUUGGGAAUGAGGCGACCUGAUCAGGGAUGGUGCGGCCAGGUCGAUCGACCUUUUGGGACCUUUGUCUCCCUAUUCUUAAAUCGAAGGAGGAGCUGGCUGAGGUCACUGCCAGCGCUGAUCCCCGGGUGACCUCCUUCUCAGAACCUCUGCUGUGAGGACUGGACGUAGGGGGCUUGGCACGGGUAGAGGCAACAGGAGCUGCCAGGGACAGGGAGGAGAGACGAUGCAGAGUCACUGCUGAAGUAAGUCAGGGUCCGAGAACCCAAACCCCAGAUUAAAACAGAUAACACAAAUUAACAACAGGAUGGGUUCAAGGAGAAUCCUUAGAGACCGCUGGGCCAGGGUGUCAACAGCCACAGCGGGGAGAGCUCUGAGGUUCAGGAUAUGGGAAACGUGUCCCCGAAAUGCCAGCCUUCGGGUGACCGUAGAGGCUCCAUGGGUCCACUUGGCCAGUACUGUGGGGGCCCUCAAGUCCUGGGCCUGCAGGGGAAAGCACAGUUUUCUAACAGCCAUCCGUACUGAGCUGCUGCUUCUGGGCACAGUGACCCAGAGUCUGGGGGUCUGAGCACCUCUAAAGGCUGGGUUAAUGGGUUCUGAAGAUCUGCUUAGUGACGUCAGUCAGGACAAGGACUGAAAGGCAAAACAGGAGGGCAAAACAGGUAGCCGGAGAGUGGCGCAGGGAGCGCAACACAUGCCUGGGCUCCCACCUCUGUUAGAAGGCCACCCACUGAGCAUACCCCAUCCUCCCUAGGGGCCUCCCAGUGCUGGGCUGGUGAAAAGAGGGCAGAGAGGAGAUGGGGCGUGGGCAAAUCACUUCCUCUCUGGGCCUCAAUUUCCCCAUCUGAGAGGCAUCCAACUCUAGGGAAUCAUAAUGUCUUUUUCUAAGUUGUAAUGUCGCGCUGCAGAAACCUCCACCCAUGGUUUUGCUUCUGUGGGUGUGACCAGCCUCACGUCAUCCCCCACCCCAGGGACUCCUCAUGUAGGAGGGGGCUCUCCAGCACUCUCGUCUGCUCACACCACACUCAGCCACUUCAACAGGGCUGCCACAGCAAAGAGAACACCAAAGCUGCUCCAGCCCACCCAGGCUGGAGGGCUAGGGGACACCCUGUCAUGCCGUACUUCCACGUGUCUGAGUUCAACCCCCAAGGCCUCCACCUGAAGUCCUGGCUGCCACACCCCGGAAGCGUGAGGCAUGAGCUGAGGGGACGCAGACUGAUGACAUCUUUAAAGGCACAGAGAUUGCGUCCCAAAAAAGUGAAAGAUUCUGGUCACCUGCAACACCUCCCCGAGCCAUUCCGCGUUGGCCUGGCCUCUCUGCGCCCAGUGUGGAGAAGGAAGGUAAGUUAACGUGGAACAGUCGUCAACAGACAAGCUUAUGGUUUGAUUGACACUGGAUGGUAAACUGAGGCCCAGAGAACCCAGCAAUUUAGCCCCAAGGACACAAAGCCACCCGGGGGUGGGAGAUGGAACGCCUGACCCCAGUCUUACGCUUUUACCAGCUGAGCCACCUCACAGGUGAUCUUGCUGGCCUCAGCACAGCAUGAGAAGGCCGUGUCAUCCCAGGAGGUCAGAGCUUCUUCUUGCAGCAUAGCGUGCUCUGGCCAAUGGCAAAGUGGUCCCAUAUUUCUGUUGGAGAAGCCUGGGCUGGAGGCUUCCUUAUUCCCCUGCCACAGCCACCUAGGUCUGCUUGGCAUGCUGUCUGGAAAAGGACAUCCAGAGUGCCAGGCAGAACAAGCUGUCACUAGUGCAGAGGCUGCAGCCACCCCACGCAGUGUGAGGGAGAGCACAGACUGGUCCAGGCCCCCUGCACAGUCUCCACCCUGUACAUGUUCCUAACCAGAGUCAUGGUCUCCAAGGGGCAGAUGGGCACAGCUCCAAGAGGACCAGAUCAGCACCAGGGCGGGCGUGUGCUCUGAAACAAAGCCCACCCCAGGAGGGGAAAAACAAGCUCUGAAGGCUCACCGACACUUUUGCAAACAUCCAACUUCACGGAGACCCUAGCCCUGUGAACUGCCAGAAUCACCCACAGCAAUAGGUCCUGAGCACGCUGACGCCCAGCUGGCAGAGGGGGCUGCCCAGGUCUCAGCACGACAGCAAACUCCUGCAAAACUAGAGUGCUCACCAUGACCCCAGCCUGGGCAGCACACCUUCCUAGGCCAGGCCCACCUGACAUCUUCAAGGCCGGGUCUGGAUGCAGUGGCAAAGCCUCAAUUGUCAAUUCAGUGACCUCCUCAGCCACCUCCUUCCAGGGCCAGAGCCAGAGAGAAGGGAUAGAGGCCAGGUGGAGGCCCACCUUCCCAGCUGAUGCCCACCUGCUCCUCAGCCACUGUUCAGGCCUGAGUCGCUGAGCCAGCAGCAAGAUGUGAAUGAGGUUUGGGGAGGAUCUAGAGGGGCCAGGCUGGGGAGGUUUCACUGCCCAGAACCAGGGACAGUUCUCUCAGGUGGUCUGGAAGGAGUGGGUGAACAGCUGCUUAUCAGAAAACAUUACCUAAUUGGGGCCUAACUGGGAAGGUUUAUGGGGCCAGGCAGGGGGGCUCCCCGGGGGGGAUGGUGAAAGCCGCUCAUGAGUCAUUUGAAACUGAGCCGGACAAAGAGCUUAAGGAGAAAUGAUCCCACCCAGUCUGCCAGCCAUAGGUAGAAUGAGCUCAUGGACUCUGGGGCGCACAUGAAUGCAUGUGUGUGUGUGUGAGUGUGUGCGUGCGUGUGUGUGCAUGAGAGAGGUGUAGAGAGGGAAGGGAAGAGCGGGGAGGAAAAGAAGAGAAGAGAGAAAAAGCUGGUAGUCACACAGCUGGGACUCAGAAACUGAGCCCAGCUCUCCCCUGGGUGUGGAGCCGCCACUGUGGGCCACAUUACUGCAUGGGCAGGCUGCCCCCUGCAGGUCGGCGAGGGAAGGGCCCCGUAUCUCAGUCAACAUCGUGGUUCAGCAAUCCAGCCAGCAUCCUGGUCUAGCAUCCUCGUCCAGCAUCCCAGCCAGCUUCCUGGCCAGCAUCAGGCCAGCAUAAGCAUACCUUCUCUGCGGUGCCCAGCACAGGACCUGUUCUGGGAUAAAUGCCAAAUGGGCAUGGAGUGUUUUCUUCAGUGGGACACCAGCUGUUCACACCACUUCAUCCUCUGUGAGAUGUGUGUUGGAGAUGGAUGCAUAAUAAACAUUUUUAACAUGUUUAUUCAAAUGUUUACAACUUAUUUUGAAAGAAUGGCAGAUCCACAUGCACCUGUGAAAUAAUAAAGAGACUCCUCGUAUCCUUCACCUGGUUUCUCCCAAUGAUAACUUCUUGCAAACUGUAGGACAGUACGACAAGCCAGCAAGCUGGCAUUGACAAAAUCCAUUGACCUUGCUGCCCGCACUCAUCUGUG
Molecule: long non-coding RNA, 3386 nt
Filed under: Capra hircus (goat)
Lineage: Eukaryota; Metazoa; Chordata; Mammalia; Artiodactyla; Bovidae
Description: lncRNA (ENSCHIG00000007188.1)
Source: RNAcentral